GACGAACGCUGGCGGCGUGCUUAACACAUGCAAGUCGAACGGAAAGGCCCUGCUUUUGUGGGGUGCUCGAGUGGCGAACGGGUGAGUAACACGUGAGUAACCUGCCCUUGACUUUGGGAUAACUUCAGGAAACUGGGGCUAAUACCGGAUAGGAGCUCCUGCUGCAUGGUGGGGGUUGGAAAGUUUCGGCGGUUGGGGAUGGACUCGCGGCUUAUCAGCUUGUUGGUGGGGUAGUGGCUUACCAAGGCUUUGACGGGUAGCCGGCCUGAGAGGGUGACCGGCCACAUUGGGACUGAGCUACGGCCCAGACUCCUACGGGAGGCAGCAGUGGGGAAUAUUGCACAAUGGGCGGAAGCCUGAUGCAGCAACGCCGCGUGCGGGAUGACGGCCUUCGGGUUGUAAACCGCUUUCGCCUGUGACGAAGCGUGAGUGACGGUAAUGGGUAAAGAAGCACCAGCUAACUACGUG
Molecule: ribosomal RNA, 468 nt
Filed under: uncultured bacterium
Lineage: Bacteria
Description: partial 16S ribosomal RNA
Rfam family: Bacterial small subunit ribosomal RNA
Source: RNAcentral